UCAUCGGGUGGGAUAAUCCUUAUCUGUUCCUCCAUUGGAGGACAGAUAAAACAUGAUGAUUGGAGAUGCAUGAAAUGUAAAAAAUAAAAAAGAAGUAAAUCUCAUGAGAUCUCAUUGUUUUAAAAGGGGUUUCCCUUUUGCUUGGUUUCCAAU
RNAcentral lists this small nucleolar RNA (153 nucleotides) under Aotus nancymaae (Ma's night monkey). RNAcentral's name for it is "U8 small nucleolar RNA (ENSANAG00000005759.1)". It matches the Rfam family "U8 small nucleolar RNA". From Rfam's summary of the family: U8 is a member of the C/D class of snoRNA which contain the C (UGAUGA) and D (CUGA) box motifs. The record is from Rfam by way of RNAcentral. Lineage: Eukaryota; Metazoa; Chordata; Mammalia; Primates; Aotidae.